RNAcentral lists this ribosomal RNA (583 nucleotides) under Saccharomyces cerevisiae (brewer's yeast). RNAcentral's name for it is "eukaryotic LSU rRNA". It matches the Rfam family "Eukaryotic large subunit ribosomal RNA", at positions 53 to 650 of the family's 3401-position model. RNAcentral also lists the same sequence under 1 other name. The record is from RNAcentral. Lineage: Eukaryota; Fungi; Ascomycota; Saccharomycetes; Saccharomycetales; Saccharomycetaceae.
GAGGAAAAGAAACCAACCGGGAUUGCCUUAGUAACGGCGAGUGAAGCGGCAAAAGCUCAAAUUUGAAAUCUGGUACCUUCGGUGCCCGAGUUGUAAUUUGGAGAGGGCAACUUUGGGGCCGUUCCUUGUCUAUGUUCCUUGGAACAGGACGUCAUAGAGGGUGAGAAUCCCGUGUGGCGAGGAGUGCGGUUCUUUGUAAAGUGCCUUCGAAGAGUCGAGUUGUUUGGGAAUGCAGCUCUAAGUGGGUGGUAAAUUCCAUCUAAAGCUAAAUAUUGGCGAGAGACCGAUAGCGAACAAGUACAGUGAUGGAAAGAUGAAAAGAACUUUGAAAAGAGAGUGAAAAAGUACGUGAAAUUGUUGAAAGGGAAGGGCAUUUGAUCAGACAUGGUGUUUUGUGCCCUCUGCUCCUUGUGGGUAGGGGAAUCUCGCAUUUCACUGGGCCAGCAUCAGUUUUGGUGGCAGGAUAAAUCCAUAGGAAUGUAGCUUGCCUCGGUAAGUAUUAUAGCCUGUGGGAAUACUGCCAGCUGGGACUGAGGACUGCGACGUAAGUCAAGGAUGCUGGCAUAAUGGUUAUAUGCCGCCC